CUACGGGUCGCUGCAGUGGGGAAUAUUGCACAAUGGGCGCAAGCCUGAUGCAACCAUGCCGCGUGUAUGAAGAAGGCCUUCGGGUUGUAAAGUACUUUCAGCGGGGAGGAAGGGAGUAAAGUUAAUACCUUUGCUCAUUGACGUUACCCGCAGAAGAAGCACCGGCUAACUCCGUGCCAGCAGCCGCGGUAAUACGGAGGGUGCAGGCGUUAAUCGGAAUUACUGGGCGUAAAGCGCACGCAGGCGGUUUGUUAAGUCAGAUGUGAAAUCCCCGGGCUCAACCUGGGAACUGCAUCUGAUACUGGCAAGCUUGAGUCUCGUAGAGGGGGGUAGAAUUCCAGGUGUAGCGGUGAAAUGCGUAGAGAUCUGGAGGAAUACCGGUGGCGAAGGCGGCCCCCUGGACGAAGACUGACGCUCAGGUGCGAAAGCGUGGGGAGCAAACAGGAUUAGAUACCCGCGUAGUC
This 464-nucleotide ribosomal RNA is filed under the name uncultured bacterium. Its description in RNAcentral is "partial 16S ribosomal RNA". It matches the Rfam family "Bacterial small subunit ribosomal RNA", at positions 339 to 795 of the family's 1533-position model. The record is from RNAcentral.